GACGAACGCUGGCGGCGUGCUUAACACAUGCAAGUCGAACGGAAAGGCCCUGCUUUUGUGGGGUGCUCGAGUGGCGAACGGGUGAGUAACACGUGAGUAACCUGCCCUUGACUUUGGGAUAACUUCAGGAAACUGGGGCUAAUACCGGCUAGGAGCUCCUGCUGCAUGGUGGGGGUUGGAAAGUUUCGGCGGUUGGGGAUGGACUGGGGGCUUAUCAGCUUGUUGGGUGGGUAGUGGCUUACCAAGGCUUUGACGGGUAGCCGGCCUGGGAGGGUGACCGGCCACAUUAGGACUGAGAUACGGCCCAGACUCGAACGGGAGGCAGCGGGGGAGAGUAUUGCACAGUGGGCGGGAGCCUGAUGCAACAACGCCGCGUGCGGGAAGACGGCCAUCGUGUUGGAAACCGCAUUCGCCUGUGACGAAGCGUGAGUGACGGUACCGGGUGAAUAAGCACCGGCUAACUACGUG
RNAcentral lists this ribosomal RNA (468 nucleotides) under uncultured bacterium. RNAcentral's name for it is "partial 16S ribosomal RNA". It matches the Rfam family "Bacterial small subunit ribosomal RNA", at positions 28 to 507 of the family's 1533-position model. The record is from RNAcentral.